GCAUUGAUAGUGUAACGGUUAUCAUCGAGUCUUCCCACCUAGGUUUGGCUUGGAUCCGGGUUCGACUCCCGGUCAAUGCA
Molecule: non-coding RNA, 80 nt
Organism: Arthromyces matolae
Lineage: Eukaryota; Fungi; Basidiomycota; Agaricomycetes; Agaricales; Lyophyllaceae
Source: the annotation of a GenBank genome assembly